AACGAACGCUGGCGGCAGGCUUAACACAUGCCAGUCGAACGCCCCGCAAGGGGAGUGGCAGACGGGUGAGUAACGCGUGGGAACAUACCCUUUCCUGCGGAAUAGCUCCGGGAAACUGGAAUUAAUACCGCAUACGCCCUACGGGGGAAAGAUUUAUCGGGGAAGGAUUGGCCCGCGUUGGAUUAGCUAGUUGGUGGGGUAAAGGCCUACCAAGGCGACGAUCCAUAGCUGGUCUGAGAGGAUGAUCAGCCACAUUGGGACUGAGACACGGCCCAAACUCCUACGGGAGGCAGCAGUGGGGAAUAUUGGACAAUGGGCGCAAGCCUGAUCCAGCCAUGCCGCGUGAGUGAUGAAGGCCUUAGGGUUGUAAAGCUCUUUCACCGAUGAAGAUAAUGACGGUAGUCGGAGAAGAAGCCCCGGCUAACUUCGUG
RNAcentral lists this ribosomal RNA (431 nucleotides) under uncultured bacterium. RNAcentral's name for it is "partial 16S ribosomal RNA". It matches the Rfam family "Bacterial small subunit ribosomal RNA", at positions 29 to 507 of the family's 1533-position model. The record is from RNAcentral.